UGAAACCAUGGCCAAACUUGUCGCGAGACAGGGACGGAAAGCCACGGGUUUCUAUGAGACAGCCGGGUUGCAUAG
RNAcentral lists this non-coding RNA (75 nucleotides) under Deltaproteobacteria bacterium. RNAcentral describes it as "c-di-GMP sequence". It matches the Rfam family "c-di-GMP-I riboswitch aptamer". From Rfam's summary of the family: GEMM was predicted in a large-scale screen for bacterial structured RNA regulatory elements. Lineage: Bacteria; Pseudomonadati; Myxococcota; Myxococcia. The record is from RNAcentral.